CAAUUUUUUAUAGGAAAAAAAAAAUCAAAAUUUAACGGUGGAGAUACUUCUGAGAAUAUAAUCUAAGGGAUAUUCUUUUGUUUAGGAUGAAGGGCAUGAUGCCAUGGCUUUAGCAAUCGACGUCUUCAUCGUAUCCAUUCAAAAGCGUCCCCUGCAUAAACUAAUCCUCUUUAAGAGUUGUAUACUUUCACACACGCAUCGUUCCAGUGGUAUCUUAUCAGAAGGUUAUAAAUUGAAGAGAUUGUUUAGGUUUUUUUAAUUGUUUCAAGUUUUCUUUGAUCGUCCUUCCUCUCCGCUGCAGAUAAUUUUCCCUCUGGCCCUUUCUCCUUUUCUUAUAAUCUGACUCCAUUAAAGUAUUGUUAUAUCUCUACAAUUCUCUAAUUAUUAAAUUUAUUCCCUUUGGAGUUUCUGCAAUUACAGUAGGCAUUCUUUUGCUUAGAUAGCUUUGGUGUAUGCUUCAUUGUUUGAUUUGUCUUUGUAGGAUCCACAUUCAGAACAACUCAAUCCCUAUCUUAAAAUCGAGAAGAUCUAGCAUCAAUGUUCGGACAGUGCGUUGAUCAUUCUUUCAUGUACGUUAAAGGGCAAGAGAGUUGUAUUUUUGUAGCAACUUCUCUCUGAUUUGCUUCUACUUCUGCUACUUUGUAUUAUCCAUCUGAAGUAUGCAUUACUUUUGCCACAUCCAUUAAGGGAAAAUCUCUGGGAUUAGCAAUAAAAGAUAAAUGUUUUGGAAAGGUAGUAGAGAAGAACUAGAAGGGAGAAGGAUACCUCUUCCAGGCAGAGAAAGAGGGAAUCUUUUAUUAUGGAGCUUUGACCAAAGUUAUCUACGCAGUUCCAGAUUUGAAUUAUUUUCUGUGGCUUAUUCGAACGGUUCGAUUGGAACAUAUGAGGAGAAGUUGAGUAAAACAGAGAUAUAAUCGAUCACGUUGUCAAGAUAUAUAAAAUUGAUGGAGGUUUGCAUAUAUUUUAUGUCACAAUGUUGCAAUUUUAAAGCAUUUCCUAUGGUUUCUUCUUUUCUUUUACGUUCAGCAAUUUUUUUGUGGAAGCUAAGACAAAGAAGUUAAAUGAGGCAGCCAGGAGGAUGCAAUGGAAUCUCCCGGAUUAUUUUUUAAAGAGAGAUCAGAACAAUGUAUUGAUGACUAAAAAGUAAAAUCAAUGAAUUGAGUAAAUUUUUCAGUGUUAAUUUAAAUGAAUUUCAGUUUUAAUAUGUUUGUGGCAUUUGAUAAUAUUAAAUAUUAAGUUUUUCCAAGGGACGUAGAACCGGAUGGAAUAAAAAUGUUGCUGCUGCCACCUUACAAGCCAUUUCCAAGCAUCUUUUCAAAAGCCUGCAAUAUUAGGUACUUUGAUCAUCAAAAUCCUUACUUUUAGACGGUAUGAUUGCAAUGGCUAUGCUGCUAAACCAUAGAAUUGCUCAUUCACCUUCGUGUCAUCAUUUGUCUCAUCACCUUUUGCGCCAUAGUCAAGGACACUGAAUGUUCUGGAAGUUUUCCCUUCAGCAAUAGACCUGCGGUUUCCUCUCCAGUAGCGUCACAAGAGAAUAAAAGGAAAAGUUUCAGGGCAAGACAUUUGAAGUUAAUCUGAAAGCAUGGUGUGUGCCUCCUCCCUCCUUGGAGCUCGUCCAUUCGUUGGGUGAUCCCAUGCUCUCACGUUCGAGUGUUUUCUCGUCCGGUGAGUGAGAUUUCUGCUUAUUGCAGUCACCUCCAGGGUUGGGUUCUUCGCACCUGGGAUAGUACCAGGAUCCUUGUGCCCCUGCUCUUGAUCAGAUAAAGCUGUCCGCCCGAAGCCCGACCUAUGACCCACAGAGGAGGACACAAAGAUUUGGAACUCUCUUCCUCUUUAAGCAUGUACUACUCAUUUGUUAAUAUUUGAACUUAAUUGGAUAAUGAGAAAAAACGCUGAUAGGAUAUACUUUCUUAUUUUA
Long non-coding RNA from Brassica napus (rape), 1918 nucleotides. RefSeq lists it as uncharacterized. The transcript has 3 exons. The record is from RefSeq and is a predicted model, not a curated record. Lineage: Eukaryota; Viridiplantae; Streptophyta; Magnoliopsida; Brassicales; Brassicaceae.